CCUCUUCUUCUUCAUCGUCUUCUUCUGUCUUUCCUCUUCCUUCCUGGCAUGGCAGCCCAGAUCAGCUUCCUGAGUCAUGGAGUCAACUUCUCUUGUAAUACCUCUCUCUCUCUCUCUCUCUCUCUCUCUCUCUCUCUCUCUCUCUCUCUCUAUACUGAUUAGUUGUUCAUGGUCUUCUGAUCUUCAGCUUCACUUGGACAAGAACUCAACUUUUCUAUUCUUCUCCAUAUUUAUAUAGUGGAUUAUCUUCAACUCUUGUUAUUUUUGGCAACUCUUUUCCUAAAUUAACUGGUGGAAU
Molecule: long non-coding RNA, 298 nt
Filed under: Carica papaya (papaya)
Lineage: Eukaryota; Viridiplantae; Streptophyta; Magnoliopsida; Brassicales; Caricaceae
Description: long non-coding RNA (CPAP_LNC010835)
Source: RNAcentral